This 493-nucleotide ribosomal RNA is filed under the name uncultured Bellilinea sp. Its description in RNAcentral is "bacterial SSU rRNA". It matches the Rfam family "Bacterial small subunit ribosomal RNA", at positions 1 to 526 of the family's 1533-position model. The record is from RNAcentral. Lineage: Bacteria; Bacillati; Chloroflexota; Anaerolineae; Anaerolineales; Anaerolineaceae.
UAGAGUUUGAUCCUGGCUCAGGAUGAACGCUGGCGGCGUGCCUAACCCAUGUAAGUCGAGCGAUUCUAGCAAUAGAAGAGCGGCGGAAGGGUGAGUAACACGUAGGAGACCUACCUCAUCGCAGGGAACAACUUCGCGAAAGCGGAGCUAAUACCCAAAAAGCUCGCGGCUUCGGUGCAGCGAGAAGAGUUCGCAAGAGCGUGAUGAGAGGGUCCUGCGGCCCAUCAGCUAGUUGGUAGGGUAGUGGCCUACCAAGGCAACGACGGGUAGGGGGUCUGAGAGGACGAUCCCCCACACUGGAACUGAAACACGGUCCAGACGCCUACGGGUGGCAGCAGGGAGGAAUAUUGGGCAAUGGACGAAAGUCUGACCCAGCAACGCCGCGUGAAGGAUGAAGGCCUUCGGGUCGUAAACUUCUUUUGAGGGAGAAGAGAAAGGACGGUAUCCCUCGAAUAAGCCACGGCUAACUACGUGCCAGCAGCCGCGGUAAUAC